RNAcentral lists this ribosomal RNA (595 nucleotides) under Lamprospora miniata var. parvispora. Its description in RNAcentral is "partial large subunit ribosomal RNA". It matches the Rfam family "Eukaryotic large subunit ribosomal RNA", at positions 101 to 656 of the family's 3401-position model. The record is from RNAcentral. Lineage: Eukaryota; Fungi; Ascomycota; Pezizomycetes; Pezizales; Pyronemataceae.
GCAAAAGCUCAAAUUUGAAAUCUGACGUUCAUCUUGACGUUCGAGUUGUAAUUUGGAGGAACGCCUUCGGGAACCGACGCCGUCCUAAGUUCUUUUGGAACUAGACAUCACAGAGGGUGAGAAUCCCGUGCCUGGGCGGCAGUCAGGUUUCCAUACGAAGUGUUUCCGACGAGUCGAGUUGUUUGGGAAUGCAGCUCAAAAUGGGUGGUAAAUUUCAUCUAAAGCUAAAUACAGGCGAGAGACCGAUAGCGCACAAGUAGAGUGAUCGAAAGAUGAAAAGCACUUUGAAAAGAGAGUUAAACAGUACGUGAAAUUGUUGAAAGGGAAGCGCUUGAGAUUGAACCUUCGACAGGAUGGAGCUGUGAGCGGGGUCUGGUUUACGCCAGGAGUCUGCUAUACACCCCUCCAUCCUCCCUCCAACCACCAUCGGUUCCGGCGGCGAGAAAAACGACCGGGGAAUGUGGCUCCCCUCGGGGAGUGUUUAUAGACCUGGCCGAUUUUGCGCCAGCUGGGACCGAGGCAAGAGCGAGCUGUGGUAUUUAUACCCCAUGACCUCAAGGAUGUGUGGCAUGUCGAUCUUAAGCGACCCGUCUUG